GAGUAAAAGUCGUAACAAGGUUUCCGUAGGUGAACCUGCGGAAGGAUCAUUACUGAGUGAGGGCCCCUCGGGGUCCAACCUCCCACCCGUGUUUAACGAACCUUGUUGCUUCGGCGGGCCCGCCUCACGGCCGCCGGGGGGCAUCUGCCCCCGGGCCCGCGCCCGCCGAAGCCACCUGUGAACGCUGUCUGAAGUAUGCAGUCUGAGACAAUUAUUAAAUUAAUUAAAACUUUCAACAACGGAUCUCUUGGCUCUC
Molecule: unclassified non-coding RNA, 256 nt
Filed under: plant metagenome
Description: partial contains small subunit ribosomal RNA, internal transcribed spacer 1, and 5.8S ribosomal RNA
Rfam family: Eukaryotic small subunit ribosomal RNA (bases 1-52)
Source: RNAcentral